AAGGUGACACAUUUAGGAAGAGGUGGACCUGAAGUCUAAGGGCUGUGACUGAAGAUUUAAAGAAUAGGAAUGGGCUUCUACUUAUGAAAGAGCAUGGAAAUUCUCCCACUGUGAAAACCCCUGCAUGGGCUGCAAACCCAGGAAAAUUUGAGGCUUGAUUCCUGAAUGUAACCAAAUUGGACGUUGGUGAGACCUUGAAGAAGAGAGGCUAAGUUGGGACAAUCUGGCCGUGACUGCUCUCGUGGAGGGAUUCCUGUGGAUCCUGCAGUACAUCUGUCCUGUGGGCUG
This 288-nucleotide long non-coding RNA is filed under the name Cricetulus griseus (Chinese hamster). RNAcentral describes it as "lncRNA (ENSCGRG00015038668.1)". Lineage: Eukaryota; Metazoa; Chordata; Mammalia; Rodentia; Cricetidae. The record is from RNAcentral.